UCGGGAAUUUUGGGCAAUGGGCGAAAGCCUGACCCAGCAACGCCGCGUGAAGGAUGAAGUAUUUCGGUAUGUAAACUUCGAAAGAAUAGGAAGAAUAAAUGACGGUACUAUUUAUAAGGUCCGGCUAACUACGUGCCAGCAGCCGCGGUAAUACGUAGGGACCAAGCGUUGUUCGGAUUUACUGGGCGUAAAGGGCGCGUAGGCGGCAAUUCAAGUCAUCUGUGAAAUCUCCGGGCUUAACUCGGAACGGUCAGAUGAUACUGCUUUGCUAGAGUGCAGAAGGGGCAAUCGGAAUUCUCGGUGUAGCGGUGAAAUGCGUAGAGAUCGGGAGGAACACCAGAGGCGAAGGCGGCGACCUGGACAGGUACUGACACUAAACUACGAAAGCGUGGGGAGCAAACAGGAUUAGAUACCCCGGUAGUCCCUGAGCGGGCUGGCAAGGCGCAU
This 447-nucleotide ribosomal RNA is filed under the name uncultured bacterium. Its description in RNAcentral is "bacterial SSU rRNA". It matches the Rfam family "Bacterial small subunit ribosomal RNA", at positions 355 to 825 of the family's 1533-position model. The record is from RNAcentral.